GACGAACGCUGGCGGCGUGCUUAACACAUGCAAGUCGAACGGAAAGGCCCUGCUUUUGUGGGGUGCUCGAGUGGCGAACGGGUGAGUAACACGUGAGUAACCUGCCCUUGACUUUGGGAUAACUUCAGGAAACUGGGGCUAAUACCGGCUAGGAGCUCCUGCUGCAUGGGGGUGGUUGGAAAGUUUCGGCGGUUGGGGAUGGACUCGCGGCUUAUCAGCUUGUUGGUGGGGUAGUGGCUUACCAAGGCUUUGACGGGUAGCCGGCCUGAGAGGGUGACCGGCCACAUUGGGACUGAGAGACGGCCCAGACUCCUACGGGAGGCAGCAGUGGGGAAUAUUGCACAAUGGGCGGAAGCCUGAUGCAGCAACGCCGCGUGCGGGAUGACGGCCUUCGGGUUGUAAACCGCUUUCGCCUGUGACGAAGCGGGAGUGACGGUAAUGGGUAAAGAAGCACCGGCUAACUACGUG
RNAcentral lists this ribosomal RNA (468 nucleotides) under uncultured bacterium. RNAcentral describes it as "partial 16S ribosomal RNA". It matches the Rfam family "Bacterial small subunit ribosomal RNA", at positions 28 to 507 of the family's 1533-position model. The record is from RNAcentral.